RNAcentral lists this ribosomal RNA (590 nucleotides) under Pseudogymnoascus pannorum. RNAcentral's name for it is "eukaryotic LSU rRNA". It matches the Rfam family "Eukaryotic large subunit ribosomal RNA", at positions 33 to 617 of the family's 3401-position model. The record is from RNAcentral. Lineage: Eukaryota; Fungi; Ascomycota; Leotiomycetes; Thelebolales; Thelebolaceae.
UUUUUGCAUCUCCAAAACGGAGGAAAAGAAACCAACAGGGAUUACCUCAGUAACGGCGAGUGAAGCGGUAACAGCUCAAAUUUGAAAUCUGGCCUCACGGUCCGAGUUGUAAUUUGUAGAGGAUGCUUCGAGCAUGGUCUGGCCUAAGUUCCUUGGAACAGGACGUCAUAGAGGGUGAGAAUCCCGUAUGCGGCCAGGUGCCUACGCUCAUGUGAAGCUCCUUCGACGAGUCGAGUUGUUUGGGAAUGCAGCUCAAAAUGGGUGGUAAAUUUCAUCUAAAGCUAAAUAUUGGCCAGAGACCGAUAGCGCACAAGUAGAGUGAUCGAAAGAUGAAAAGCACUUUGGAAAGAGAGUUAAACAGUACGUGAAAUUGUUGAAAGGGAAGCGCUUGCAACCAGACUUGCGCGCGGCCGAUCAUCCGGUGUUCUCACCGGUGCACUCGGCCGUGCUCAGGCCAGCAUCGGUUUUGGCGGCUGGAUAAAGGCCCUAGGAAUGUAGCUCCUCUCGGGGAGUGUUAUAGCCUAGGGUGCAAUGCAGCCUGCUGGGACCGAGGACCGCGCUCGGCUAGGUGGCAGCGUAACGGAGAAAAG